RNAcentral lists this ribosomal RNA (246 nucleotides) under uncultured Acinetobacter sp. RNAcentral's name for it is "partial 16S ribosomal RNA". It matches the Rfam family "Bacterial small subunit ribosomal RNA", at positions 796 to 1041 of the family's 1533-position model. Lineage: Bacteria; Pseudomonadati; Pseudomonadota; Gammaproteobacteria; Moraxellales; Moraxellaceae. The record is from RNAcentral.
CAUGCCGUAAACGAUGUCUACUAGCCGUUGGGGUCUUUGAGACCUUAGUGGCGCAGCUAACGCGAUAAGUAGACCGCCUGGGGAGUACGGUCGCAAGACUAAAACUCAAAUGAAUUGACGGGGGCCCGCACAAGCGGUGGAGCAUGUGGUUUAAUUCGAUGCAACGCGAAGAACCUUACCUGGCCUUGACAUAGUAGAAACUUUUCAGAGAUGGAUUGGUGCCUUCGGGAAUCUACAUACAGGUGC